Molecule: unclassified non-coding RNA, 522 nt
Filed under: Hevea brasiliensis (rubber tree)
Lineage: Eukaryota; Viridiplantae; Streptophyta; Magnoliopsida; Malpighiales; Euphorbiaceae
Source: RNAcentral
AAAAAAAAAAAAUAAAAAAUGAAGGCAGUGGUACAGGAAACGAAGAAUGGGAAAGUUACCAUCAAAACAGAGUGCAGAGCAAACGAAGAAGGACGAAAACACAUAGAAAAACUGGAUCUGGAUACUAAAAACGUCGAUACUGUCAAGUAUGUCGAAAAAAAGUUGACGGAAAAAGGGGUGCAGAGGUUGGAACGGCAUCCAUCGGAUGGGCUGCCGUUAAAGCAUGAUCCGAAGAAAGGACACGGAGGUAAGUAUACAUGGGAAGGACCUGAUAAGUAUAAUGCGGAUGAGAGAGAUCUGAAUCAUAAUGUGAAUGAAGAAGCAGAGGAUGAUGAAGGAGGAGUUAUUGUGGGUGAAAUUGAAGUAGCAAAAUUGGCUGAAGAAGGUGUUGCUAGAAUUGAAAUUGAUCCUAAUUUGAAAAUUGAUUAAUCAUUUCUUACCUCUUGUGAUUUUAGGGGGAAAAAUAAUUGUUGAAUUUGUGUGAUUUGUGUUUGUUAAUUACUUGUAUGUGAUGGAAUAAUA